AAAUUUCUUUGGCGGUGUAUCAGCCCACUAGGCGCGAUGAUUUGGACCAAUUUUUUUUCUAUUCGCGCUUCAAUUUUUCCAACCUAAAGAAACCCUCACAUAACUCAUAAACCAGAACUCAAACCCUCGCCCCCAACAUUUUCUCUCUCAUCUACAAUUCUAAAUACUCAAAAUACUGAUUCAAUUCUCUACGAACAUCUUUGUAACUAUAUUUUCACUACAAAUUGGUGAAUCUUGCUAAAAAUUAGAAGAAUUGAGGUGGAGUUUGAGCUGGUGGUGGCGGCAUCGGGUGUUGUCCGGCGUUAGUGCUUCUUCGAUCGGACGGAUUCAAUGGGAAGACGAAAGAAGCUUCGAACAGUGACUCUUCAUUCACAUGAAGAUUCUGAUACUCAGGGAGCUAGUGGAAAUAUUGUGGACACUCCAAGAAAUAUGACUCCUGUAUCAGCAAGUCUAGAAGAACUAGAAGAUCAGAUGAUUGAUGAGAAUUUAGAGAAUGAAGAUGUUGAAGAUUCUGAAACCUCUACUAAGAAACGCAGAGGACCUACUUUAAUGGCACAUAUUUGGAAUCAACCUAAGGAAAAGAGAAUAGUUCUGAGGUGGAAUAAAUGUUGGCAACCAAUUGGCGAUGAACAUUCUGAUCUUGCUCACUUUAUUGGAACUGUAGCAAGAAAUCCUCGAUUAUGUCCCUUGGUAUAUGAUGACUGGAGACUGGAAAAAAACGAACAGAAGCACUUGAUAUUGUGAAGUCAAAGUUCAUCAUUCCUCACCCGUUAGCAGAAAAGUACGUAAAACAAUCAAUGGGAAAAAAGUGGAACAAUUUCAAGGGAGAACUCAAACUUGAUUGCUGUGAACCACACCUUGGAAAUAUAACAAAUAUUAUUAAAGCUAAGCCUGAUUUUGUGCCCGAGGAGCAAUAGCCUUAUCUGGUAACUUAUUGGAAUUCUCCUAAAGGCAAGGAAAGAUCUGAAAAAAAUCGAAAAAGUCGUGAGGUACAAGUUAUGGCUCAUACUGGUGGAACGAAAAGCUUUGCGUGUUAUGCUGAUGACAAGGUAUGAGACUAUCAAUGGGGCAACACCGUCAAGAGCUAUGGUGUUCUUGGAUACUCAUAAGGAACGUAAAAUUGUGCCAACACCAAUGGAUGAAAAGUCAAAACAAGCUGUGGAACUGAUAAAUGGCAAGUUAAGUAAACAUCCAAAUGGUGUUGAGGAAACAAAUGGCAAGGUUGCAUGGGAAGGUGACAUAUAUUCCCAAGUAAUGAGUAUUAUUGUAGGCCCAGAAAAAAGGGUCAAGUUCGUGGUCUGGGUAGAUGUCCAAAGUCCUUGUCUUCUGUUUCAUCUAAUGAAGAAAGAGAUUACCAUGAUGAUCAUGACAUAUGUGAUGAAAGAAUCCAAUUUUUAGAGUGUGAACUCAAAAGAGUGCAAGAAAAAUCGGCACAAUUAGAGAAAGACAAUGCUGAAUCUCUAGCUCAGAUGAAAGAGGAUGUCAAGUUGUUAAAGGCAUUCUUGCUAGGUAGAAGAGUUCUUGAUGUCAGUACUUAGUGAACAGGUUAUUUUUUAUCAAGUGGGGUGAAUUUGUCGAUUAUUUGUGAAGCUUGAAUCUGAUUUUUGCUGAUUUUUGCUGAUUUUGGAAGUUAUGAAGAGCAUAAAUAGCCUUUGAAAUGUCUAUUUGGAUCAUGUGUAAUCAGUUUUGAAGUUGUUCAAAGAUGUAACAAGUUUUUUUUGGUACCUUGGAUGAUGAUGUAACAACGAUUAUUCAUAUCUAUUAAAUUUAUAAUUAUCUUCCUUAUACUAUACAUUUGUGUAUUGUUGUGUGGGAGCUGAAAUAUAUUUUAUGUAUUAUGGAAGCUAGCAAUU
Spinacia oleracea (spinach) is the source of this 1853-nucleotide long non-coding RNA. RefSeq lists it as uncharacterized. The record is from RefSeq and is a predicted model, not a curated record. Lineage: Eukaryota; Viridiplantae; Streptophyta; Magnoliopsida; Caryophyllales; Amaranthaceae. The transcript is spliced from 8 exons.